ACCUGUGUAGGUGUACAACCACUGGUUUCGAAUUGAAUUUAUCGUUACCAUUUGGAUGACGCUACCCCCCUAAUGUUACCACACAGACACACAGAUCGGAGUUGAUCACUUGCAAAGAUCGGAUUUGUUCUGACAGUGUGCCUAUUUGUUCUGACUUGUGUGACCCUACUGUAGUCCUAAAUCAAUAACGUCAAAUCUAAGUAAAUCACACAGCUUUUGUAGAUCAGAGAUAGUAAUUUAUUAAUGUAUUGAUGCAUAAAACACAAAUUAAACUAAAACAAAUUCAAUGCUUAUGGAAUUUAGCAAAAUGUCCUUAUUGCUGAGAAUGAUCUUUACUGUGAAACAUAUGUGUAUUUUAUGCAUAGGAGCUUACCACCAAUCUCUUUGGCUCUUACAUGAUUCUGUCAGUCUGAGAUUUAAAAUGUAAUUAUGCAAAAUAAGUUCUUACAUAAACUAUGUGAAAAUAUACACUCAUUGUUAAACUUUAGAUUUUGUCUGUUUUGCUGGUCCGAAGCCGAGUGCAAUUAUUCUCCCUCCUGCCCCCUGCUGGUCUCCUUUCACUUAAGCACUUCUAUAUACCAACAUUGUUAAGCAACAAUGCAAAGUAAAGGAGAAAAAACAGAAAGCCACAUCGUAUCUGUUUUUUUCUUUUCUUCAUCUGUUUGUUUGGUUAUUUUUACUCCGCCAACAAUGAUGCUAGCUGUAUCCCCCAGUACCCCAGACCCCCAAUUGUCUGAAGAACUCUGGUAACUUGGACCAUUUCGGUCCCUUGGUGUGCACCCAAGUUCGGAAAACAGCUUUCACAUAAAAAAACAAACCAACCUAUCGAUUCUAGCGGACCCCGGCUCUCACCUACCAUGAUAUUUUCAACAUGCUAGUCUGCAAAUGUAUGAAAAUAAAACUCUUUCUGUUUUCAAGAUGAACACAAAAACAUCAGUGAACAGGAUGGCACGUUAGGCCUUUUCCCAAUCCACAUCAUAAGGCAUUCAUCCCUUCCACAGACUUGUACGAGCAACAGCAACAUUGGAUGUCAGCCUCGCUUUACUGUCCGUCAACCUUGUCUGCAAGAGAGAGAAGAUAAGACAUAUUCAAUAUCAGACUACA
Molecule: long non-coding RNA, 1104 nt
Organism: Clupea harengus (Atlantic herring)
Lineage: Eukaryota; Metazoa; Chordata; Actinopteri; Clupeiformes; Clupeidae
Source: Ensembl